CGUCUGUCACAGGUCCGUGACGUCACAGAUGAUCGAAACAACGCCGUAACGUCUGUCACAGGUCCGUGACGUCACAGAUGAUGGAAACAACGCCGUAAAGUCUGUCACAGGUCCGUGACGUCACAGAUGAUCGAAACAAGGCCGUAACUUCUGUCACAAGACCGUGACGUCAUAGAUGAUCGAAACAACGCUGUAACGUCUCUCAGAGAUCUGUGACGUCACAGAUGAUAGAAAAACAACGCCGUAACUCCUGUCACAGGUCCGUGACGUCACAGAUGAUCGAAACAAGGCCGUAACUUCUGUAACAGGUCCGUGACGUCACAGAUGAUAGAAAAACAACGCCGUAACGUCUCUAAUAGAUCUGUGACGUCACAGAUGAUAUAAACAACGCCGUAACUUCUGUCACAGGUCCGUGACGUCACAGAUGAUAGAAACAACGCCGUAAUUUCUGUCACAGGUCCGUGACGUCACAGAUGAUAGAAAAACAACGCCGUAACGUCUCUAAUAGAUCUGUGACGUCACAGAUGAUAGAAAAAACGCCGUAAUUUCUGUCACAGGUCCGUGACGUCACAGAUGAUAGAAAAACAACGCCGUAACGUCUCUAAUAGAUCUGUGACGUCACAGAUGAUAGAAACAACGCCGUAAUUUCUGUCACAGGUCCGUGACGUCACAGAUGAUAGAAAAACAACGCCGUAACGUCUCUAAUAGAUCUGUGACGUCACAGAUGAUAGAAACAACGCCGUAAUUUCUGUCACAGGUCCGUGACGUCACAGAUGAUAGAAACAACGCCGUAAUUUCUGUCACAGGUCCGUGACGUCACAGAUGAUAGAAACAACGCCGUAACUUCUGUCACAGGUCCGUGACGUCACAGAUGAUAGAAAAACAACGCCGUAACGUCUCUAAUAGAUCGGUGACGUCACAGAUGAUAGAAACAACGCCGUAAUUUCUUUCACAGGUCCGUGACGUCACAGAUGGUCGAAACAACGCCGUAAUUUCUGUCACAGGUCCGUGACGUCACAGAUGAUAGAAACAACGCCGUAAUUUCUGUCACAGGUCCGUGACGUCACAGAUGAUAGAAAAACAACGCCGUAACGGCUCUAAUAGAUCUGUGACGUCACAGAUGAGAGAAACAACGCCGUAAUUUCUGUCACAGGUCCGUGACGUCACAGAUGAUGGAAACAACGCCGUAAUUUCUGUCACAGGUCCCUGACGUCACAGAUGAUAGAAACAACGCCGUAAUUUCUGUCACAGGUCCGUGACGUCACAGAUGAUAGAAAAACAACGCCGUAACGGCUCUAAUAGAUCUGUGACGUCACAGAUGAGAGAAACAACGCCGUAAUUUCUGUCACAGGUCCGUGACGUCACAGAUGAUGGAAACAACGCCGUAAUUUC
Vespula vulgaris is the source of this 1392-nucleotide long non-coding RNA. RefSeq lists it as uncharacterized. The record is from RefSeq and is a predicted model, not a curated record. The transcript has 4 exons. NCBI's taxonomy places the organism in Eukaryota, Metazoa, Arthropoda, Insecta, Hymenoptera, Vespidae.